UAUGAAUCAGAGAUAAUAGGUUAAAACUAAAAAUUUUUUACAAAUCGGCACCGAAUGCCU
This 60-nucleotide transfer RNA is filed under the name Perna perna. Its description in RNAcentral is "tRNA-Ser". Lineage: Eukaryota; Metazoa; Mollusca; Bivalvia; Mytilida; Mytilidae. The record is from RNAcentral.